This is a long non-coding RNA of Callithrix jacchus (white-tufted-ear marmoset), 1954 nucleotides long. The record is from Ensembl. Lineage: Eukaryota; Metazoa; Chordata; Mammalia; Primates; Cebidae.
UCAGCAGCCAUCAUUAUUUUUAAACCUGUUUUGAAAACCUUACAAUGAUAUUACACCAUGGAGACACACGAGGGCGCGCCAGGCAUCUAUUUAAAAUGUGUUUUCAUAGCUUUUCUUGAAGGAUGUAAUUUUGAGUGUGUACAGGAAACGGGGGGCCGCAGGGGAGUCUUAAGGGUCCCCUGUGAGUGACAAGGGCAAGUCUUAUUUCCAGCUUGGUCCAGUCUGCCAGCCUUGUCAAUGAAAUACCAGGAUUCCCUUCCUGAAUGCUCCAUAGUGGAAUCAGGGAUGUCAUAUAAAAGACACAUCGCUUGCAGCCUGUGGGGGCGGGUUUCCUUCUUGCAGCAGAAUGCUUCUGAGAUUCAUCCGUGUUGUCCGUCGGUAGAUGGUCUGCUCCUUUUGAUUGCUGACUCGUACGUAAUUUAUCCUAUGAAUGAAUGAGCCACCGUUUGAUCCAUUCCCCAGGUGAGGGGAUUUGGGUUGUUUCUAGUUCUUGGUGAUUGGGAAUAAGCUGCUCUAGCCCUGCAUGUACUGGUUUUUGCAUGAACAAAGGUCUUCAUUUCUGUAGGUUACACACCAGGAGUGGGACUGCAGGAUCGUACGAGUGUGUGUUUAACAUCAUGGGAAACUGCCAUGCCGUUUUUCAGAGCGGCUGCACCAUUUCACAUUCCCACUAGUGACGUAGGAGCCUGAUAGCUGCUCUGCAUUCCCACAUCUGCUUUUUCUCAUCAUUGAAUUUCUACCAUCAAGCAUAGAACAUGGCACUGGUAAGUGCUCAACAAAUAUGCACAUAGUAAGUACACAGAAAUAUGCGUACCUACUAUGUGCACAUAAACGGAUAGUAGAGGCUAUCACAGAGUGGGAUCAGGAGGAUGAAGUAGGGUAAAGUGUACAGAGUGCUUGGCACAGUGCCUGGCCCUUAGUCCCUGAGGAUCUUUGCUGGCAGCAGAGGCCACUCUCCCCAGGGGAGGGCCACAGGGCAGGGGCCUUAGUUCCAGCCACAGAGAGACUGCCUAGCAGAACCCUCCUCUAUGUUAAUCUCUGGCUCCCUGAGUUCUAGGCUUUGGGGAUAGGAAGAUCUUCUCUCCCCAGGAACUGAGGAGGUAAGAAUCCACCCCCGUCCCAGCCCCAGCAAGACCCCCAGGGCCGCAAGCACUUCCUGAGCUUCUCUGUGCCCCCCUCCAGCCAGCCUAGAAGAAAACCGGGAGACCUGGCUCCGGCUGUGUUUUCCUUGCCUCCGCACUCUCGAAUGGGAGGCCCACAGGCCAAGGAAUGGAGUAAGUCUGUUUUCCUAGCUGGCCUUGUCCCCUCAAGGGGACACCAGUGCCUCCACGUUGCUGAGGUUUCUCCCACUUUAGCCAAGCUCUCUGCCUGCCCUUGUCCACCCCCACUGGGGGCCUGUUUGCCAGAAUCUUUCAGCACCUCUUCUCUUUCACAAUCAAUCUGACCCUUUUUGCUAUUGUUUUUGUAGGUUAAUUGAAUACGUUCUCCUCUCGGUGGAGACAGCAGGCAGGGCCAAGCACAACAGGCCCAGUGCGAAGGGGGCUUGGGAGGCCCAUCCCACCUCGGCAGCCUGGGGCCUGCUCAGGCAAGGGCAGGGGGACACUGAUGGGGCCAGGAUGUAAUUGACCUCGCCUGCAGGCAGCAGCUCGCUGGGGUGGGAGACGCGGGGGAGGAGAGCACCAGGCCACCCUUUCAAUCCCUGCUCUUCCUUCCUCCUUUUUUUUUUCAGAGCAGAUUAUCCCUAAAUUCUUCAGUUGGUAUUUUCUGAGCACCUUCUAACAGCAGAAAACUGUAGCACGCCUCGAGGUGUGAUGAUGGAAACCAGGCUGGCCGUGGUCUCACCCACGGGCGAGUUUGUGCCCAAGGGGACACUUAGCAAUGUCUGGAGACAGUUUUGGCUGGUGGCGCUGAGCAGGGGGGUGCUGCUGGCACCCCUAGUGGGUAGCGGCCAGGG